GAACACACAAGAAAACAAGUUGUCUAUCUUUAUUUGGAACUGCACACACUGAAGAACGGAAGAAUGAUAAAGAGAAAGGCAGAUUUCGGGUCAAUGCUUUUAAAGGCGGCAAGUAUGAGGCAGUCAUAAGACAAGAAGAUCGAAGAACCAAAUUUUAAAAAAGAAAGACCAUAACCACUGCGCAGAGAAAGGGGGGUGCAAAAUCAUACUAGUGGGGGCAAAAACGCCGUGAAACUCGCAGAGACAACAGCCAUCGGAGAGUGGAAUGAACAUUGUGGGCAGACACUAAACAAAAACACCUGAAAGAACCCAUUGAAUAAAAAGACCAGCAAACACCCAAUGUGCAAAGAGAAAAUAAAAGCAAAUCGAGCAAACAAUAAAAAUAAGCAAAUCGCAUGCAGAAUGAAAGUGGGUCUACAGACGUGGUGCCGGCAUCACUGCAGCCAAAUCAG
Long non-coding RNA from Hypanus sabinus (Atlantic stingray), 452 nucleotides. RefSeq lists it as uncharacterized. The transcript is spliced from 3 exons. The record is from RefSeq and is a predicted model, not a curated record. NCBI's taxonomy places the organism in Eukaryota, Metazoa, Chordata, Chondrichthyes, Myliobatiformes, Dasyatidae.